RNAcentral lists this transfer RNA (72 nucleotides) under Athalia sp. 'qingzang'. RNAcentral describes it as "tRNA-Trp". The record is from RNAcentral. Lineage: Eukaryota; Metazoa; Arthropoda; Insecta; Hymenoptera; Athaliidae.
AAGAUUUUAAGUUAAAAUAAAAGAAACUAUUAAUCUUCAAAAUUAAUAAUAAUGUACACUGAUUAAAUCUUA